RNAcentral lists this ribosomal RNA (468 nucleotides) under uncultured bacterium. RNAcentral's name for it is "partial 16S ribosomal RNA". It matches the Rfam family "Bacterial small subunit ribosomal RNA", at positions 28 to 507 of the family's 1533-position model. The record is from RNAcentral.
GACGAACGCUGGCGGCGUGCUUAACACAUGCGAGUCGAACGGAAAGGCCCUGCUUUUGUGGGGUGCUCGAGUGGCGAACGGGUGAGUAACACGUGAGUAACCUGCCCUUGACUUUGGGAUAACUUCAGGAAACUGGGGCUAAUACCGGAUAGGAGCUCCUGCUGCAUGGUGGGGGUUGGAAAGUUUCGGCGGUUGGGGAUGGACUCGCGGCUUAUCAGCUUGUUGGUGGGGUAGUGGCUUACCAAGGCUUUGACGGGUAGCCGGCCUGAGAGGGUGACCGGCCACAUUGGGACUGAGAUACGGCCCAGAAUCCUACGGGAGGCAGCAGUGGGGAAUAUUGCACAAUGGGCGGAAGCCUGAUGCAGCAACGCCGCGUGCGGGAUGACGGCCUUCGGGUUGUAAACCGCUUUCGCCUGUGACGAAGCGUGAGUGACGGUAAUGGGUAAAGAAGCACCGGCUAACUACGUG